This 580-nucleotide ribosomal RNA is filed under the name uncultured bacterium. Its description in RNAcentral is "bacterial SSU rRNA". It matches the Rfam family "Bacterial small subunit ribosomal RNA", at positions 102 to 669 of the family's 1533-position model. The record is from RNAcentral.
ACGGGUGAGUAACACGUAGGCAACCUGCCCUCAAGCUUGGGACAACUACCGGAAACGGUAGCUAAUUCCGAAUACUUGUUUUCUUCGCCUGAAGGAAACUGGAAAGACGGAGCAAUCUGUCACUUGAGGAUGGGCCUGCGGCGCAUUAGCUAGUUGGUGAGGUAACGGCUCACCAAGGCGACGAUGCGUAGCCGACCUGAGAGGGUGAUCGGCCACACUGGGACUGAGACACGGCCCAGACUCCUACGGGAGGCAGCAGUAGGGAAUCUUCCGCAAUGGGCGAAAGCCUGACGGAGCAAUGCCGCGUGAGUGAUGAAGGUUUUCGGAUCGUAAAGCUCUGUUGCCAGGGAAGAACGCUUAGGAGAGUAACUGCUCCUGAGGUGACGGUACCUGAGAAGAAAGCCCCGGCUAACUACGUGCCAGCAGCCGCGGUAAUACGUAGGGGGCAAGCGUUGUCCGGAAUUAUUGGGCGUAAAGCGCGCGCAGGCGGUCAUUUAAGUCUGGUGUUUAAUCCCGGGGCUCAACCCCGGAUCGCACUGGAAACUGGGUGACUUGAGUGCAGAAGAGGAGAGUGGAAUUC